RNAcentral lists this ribosomal RNA (372 nucleotides) under uncultured Acidovorax sp. Its description in RNAcentral is "bacterial SSU rRNA". It matches the Rfam family "Bacterial small subunit ribosomal RNA", at positions 1010 to 1382 of the family's 1533-position model. The record is from RNAcentral. Lineage: Bacteria; Pseudomonadati; Pseudomonadota; Betaproteobacteria; Burkholderiales; Comamonadaceae.
GGAGUGCUCGAAGAGAGACCGGUAACACAGGUGCUGCAUGGCUGUCGUCAGCUCGUGUCGUGAGAUGUUGGGUUAAGUCCCGCAACGAGCGCAACCCUUGUCAUUAGUUGCUACAUCUAGUUGGGCACUCUAAUGAGACUGCCGGUGACAAACCGGAGGAAGGUGGGGAUGACGUCAAGUCCUCAUGGCCCCUAUAGGUGGGGCAACACACGUCAUACAAUGGAUGGUACAAAGGGUCGCCAACCCGCGAGGGGGAGCCAAUCCCAUAAAGCCAUUCGUAGUCCGGAUCGCAGUCUGCAACUCGACUGCGUGAAGUCGGAAUCGCUAGUAAUCGUGGAUCAGAAUGUCACGGUGAAUACGUUCCCGGGUCUU